GACGAACGCUGGCGGCGUGCCUAAUACAUGCAAGUAGAACGCUGAAGAGAGGAGCUUGCUCUUCUUGGAUGAGUUGCGAACGGGUGAGUAACGCGUAGGUAACCUGCCUUGUAGCGGGGGAUAACUAUUGGAAACGAUAGCUAAUACCGCAUAACAAUGGAUGACACAUGUCAUUUAUUUGAAAGGGGCAAUUGCUCCACUACAAGAUGGACCUGCGUUGUAUUAGGUAGUAGGUGAGGUAAGGGCUCACCUAGGCGACGGUACAUAGCCGACCUGAGAGGGUGGUCGGCCACACUGGGACUGUGACACGGCCCAGACUCCUUCGGGAAGCAGCCAUAGGGGAACGUCGGCAAUGGGGGCAACCCAGACCGAGCCACGCCGCGGGAGUGUAGAAGGGUUUCGGGUCGUAAAGCUCUGUUGUAAGUCAAGAAAGGGUGUGAGAGUGGAACGUUCACACUGUGACGGUAGCUUACCAGAAAGCGACGGCUAACUACGUG
RNAcentral lists this ribosomal RNA (497 nucleotides) under uncultured bacterium. Its description in RNAcentral is "partial 16S ribosomal RNA". It matches the Rfam family "Bacterial small subunit ribosomal RNA", at positions 28 to 507 of the family's 1533-position model. The record is from RNAcentral.